AUUGAACGCUGGCGGCAGGCCUAACACAUGCAAGUCGAGCGGAUGAAGGGAGCUUGCUCCUGGAUUCAGCGGCGGACGGGUGAGUAAUGCCUAGGAAUCUGCCUGGUAGUGGGGGAUAACGUCCGGAAACGGGCGCUAAUACCGCAUACGUCCUGAGGGAGAAAGUGGGGGAUCUUCGGACCUCACGCUAUCAGAUGAGCCUAGGUCGGAUUAGCUAGUUGGUGGGGUAAAGGCCUACCAAGGCGACGAUCCGUAACUGGUCUGAGAGGAUGAUCAGUCACACUGGAACUGAGACACGGUCCAGACUCCUACGGGAGGCAGCAGUGGGGAAUAUUGGACCAUGGGCGAAAGCCUGAUCCAGGCAUGGCGCGUGUGUGAAGAAGGUCUUCGGAUUGUAAAGCACUUUAAGUUGGGAGGAAGGGCAGUAAGUUAAUACCUUGCUGUUUUGACGUUACCAACAGAAUAAGCACCGGCUAGCUUCGUG
This 484-nucleotide ribosomal RNA is filed under the name uncultured bacterium. Its description in RNAcentral is "partial 16S ribosomal RNA". It matches the Rfam family "Bacterial small subunit ribosomal RNA", at positions 30 to 507 of the family's 1533-position model. The record is from RNAcentral.